This 972-nucleotide ribosomal RNA is filed under the name Triticum aestivum (bread wheat). RNAcentral's name for it is "partial small subunit ribosomal RNA". Lineage: Eukaryota; Viridiplantae; Streptophyta; Magnoliopsida; Poales; Poaceae. The record is from RNAcentral.
AUGAAUAUUGUCACGGGUGCCAUGGGCAGCAUGCUCCCCAAGCUGGGACAGCUGCUCAUGGAUGAGUAUAACCUGCACAAGCGCGUCAAGAAAGAUGUCGAGUUCCUUAGGAAGGAACUUGAGAGCAUGCACGCUGCCCUCAUCAAAGUUGGCGAGGUGUCGCGGGACCUGCUCGACAGGCAAGUCAAGCUCUGGGCCGACGAGGUCAGAGAGCUCUCCUACAACUUGGAGGAUGUCGUCGACAAGUUCCUUGUACACGUCGACAUUGACAGCAUUCAGCAGCCUCACGACAACUCCGGCAGAUUCAAGGAGCUCAAGAACAAGAUGAUCGGCUUGUUCAAGAAAGGCAGGAAUAACCAUCGCAUAGCUGACGCCAUCAAGGAAAUCAAGGAGCAACUCCAGGAGGUGUCUGCUAGGCGUGACAGGAACAAGGUAGUUGUUCCUAAUCCUACGGAACCAAUUAUUAUUGAUCCUUGUCUUCGAGCUUUGUAUGCAGAAGCGGCAGAGCUAGUUGGCAUAUAUGGGAAGAGGGAUCAGGAGCUCAUGAGGUUGCUCUCCAUGGAGGGAGAUGAUGCCUCUAACAAGAGACUGAAGAAGGUCUCCAUUGUUGGAUUUGGAGGGUUGGGCAAGACCACUCUUGCUAGAGCAGUAUACGACAAGAUUAAAGGUGAUUUCCAUUGUCGGGCAUUUGUUCCGGUCGGUCAGAACCCUGACAUGAAGAAGGUUUUAAGGGAUAUCCUCAUUGAUCUCGGCAACGCUCACUCAGAUCUUGCGACGCUGGAUGCCAAUCAGCUUAUUAAAAAGCUUCGUGAAUUCCUAGAGAAUAAAAGGUAUCUUGUUAUAAUCGAUGAUAUAUGGGAUGAAAAAUUGUGGGAAGGCAUCAACUUUGCUUUCUCUAGCAGGAAUAAUCUAGGCAGUCGGCUAAUCACCACAACCCGCAUUGUCAGUGUCUCUAAUUCAUGUUGCUCGUAG